UAGGGAAUAUUGGUCAAUGGAUGCAAGUCUGAACCAGCCAUGCCGCGUGCAGGAAGACGGCCUUCUGGGUUGUAAACUGCUUUUGUCAGGGUAUAAAAUGAGCAUGCGUGCUUAAUUGAAGGUACCUGGCGAAUAAGCCACGGCUAACUACGUGCCAGCAGCCGCGGUAAUACGUAGGUGGCAAGAGUUGUCCGGAUUUAUUGGGUUUAAAGGGUGCGUAGGCGGCCCUAUAAGUCAGUGCUGAAAUAUCCCGGCUUAACCGGGAGGGUGGCAUUGAUACUGUAGGGCUUGAGUCGAGUUGAGGUUGGCGGAAUUGACGGUGUAGCGGUGAAAUGCUUAGAUAUCGUCAAGAACACCGAUAGUGAAGACAGCUUACUAGACUUCAACUGACGCUGAGGCACGAAAGUGUGGGGAUCAAA
This 419-nucleotide ribosomal RNA is filed under the name uncultured bacterium. RNAcentral's name for it is "bacterial SSU rRNA". It matches the Rfam family "Bacterial small subunit ribosomal RNA", at positions 355 to 772 of the family's 1533-position model. The record is from RNAcentral.